RNAcentral lists this ribosomal RNA (601 nucleotides) under Ambrosiozyma platypodis. RNAcentral describes it as "LSU rRNA". It matches the Rfam family "Eukaryotic large subunit ribosomal RNA", at positions 33 to 654 of the family's 3401-position model. Lineage: Eukaryota; Fungi; Ascomycota; Pichiomycetes; Pichiales; Pichiaceae. The record is from RNAcentral.
AUUAAGCAUAUCAAUAAGCGGAGGAAAAGAAACCAACAGGGAUUGCCUUAGUAGCGGCGAGUGAAGCGGCAAGAGCUCAAAUUUGAAAUCUGGUACCUUUGGUGCCCGAGUUGUAAUUUGAAGAUCACAAUCUUGAAAUUGGUCCUUGUCUAUGUUCCUUGGAACAGGACGUCACAGAGGGUGAGAAUCCCGUGCGAUGAGGAUACCUUUUUCAUUUAAGAUGUGUUCGACGAGUCGAGUUGUUUGGGAAUGCAGCUCAAAGUGGGUGGUAAAUUCCAUCUAAAGCUAAAUAUUGGCGAGAGACCGAUAGCGAACAAGUACAGUGAUGGAAAGAUGAAAAGAACUUUGAAAAGAGAGUGAAAAAGUACGUGAAAUUGUUGAAAGGGAAGGGUAUUUAAUCAGACUUGGUAUUUAGCUAUCUCUUCUCCUUGUGGGAGGGGCUCUAGCUUUUUACUGGGCCAGCAUCAGUUUUGGUGGUAAGAUAAUCGCAGUUGAAUGUGGCUCUUCGGAGUGUUAUAGCUUCUGUUGAUGUUACCUACCGGGACUGAGGUCUGCGGCUUUUGCCUAGGAUGCUGGCGUAAUGAUUAAACACCGCCCGUUG